UACGAAGGGGGCUAGCGUUGUUCGGAAUUACUGGGCGUAAAGCGUGCGCAGGCGGCUUCUCAAGUCAGGGGUGAAAGCCCAGAGCUCAACUCUGGAAUUGCCUUUGAGACUGAGUGGCUUGAGUACGGGAGAGGUGAGUGGAAUUCCCAGUGUAGAGGUGAAAUUCGUAGAUAUUGGGAAGAACACCGGUGGCGAAGGCGGCUUACUGGUCCAUAACUGACGCUGAGGUGCGAAAGCGUGGGGAGCAAACAGG
Molecule: ribosomal RNA, 253 nt
Filed under: uncultured bacterium
Lineage: Bacteria
Description: partial 16S ribosomal RNA
Rfam family: Bacterial small subunit ribosomal RNA
Source: RNAcentral